AACGACGCUGGCGGCGUGCUUAACACAUGCAAGUCGAACGCGAAAGGGACUUCGGUCCUGAGUAAAGUGGCGCACGGGUGAGUAACGCGUAGAUAACCUGUCUUCAUGUCUGGAAUAAUACGCCGAAAGGGGUACUAAUACCGGAUAUUCUUGCUUUUCAUAAGUUAUGCAAGCAAAGGUGGCCUCUGCAUAUGCUACUGCAUGAAGAGGGGUCUGCGUACCAUUAGCUAGUAGGUGGGUAAUGGCCUACCUAGGCGACGAUGGUUAGCGGGUCUGAGAGGAUGAUCCGCCACACUGGCACUGGAACACGGGCCAGACUCCUACGGGAGGCAGCAGUGAGGAAUAUUGCGCAAUGGGGAAACCCUGACGCAGCGACGCCGCGUGAGUGAGGAAAGGCCUUCGGGUCGUAAAGCUCUGUCAAGAGGAAAGAAGUGUACAAUGGCUAAUACCUGUUGUAUUUGACGGUACCUCUAAAGGAAGCACCGGCUAACUCCGUGCCAGCAGCAGC
This 508-nucleotide ribosomal RNA is filed under the name uncultured bacterium. Its description in RNAcentral is "bacterial SSU rRNA". It matches the Rfam family "Bacterial small subunit ribosomal RNA", at positions 32 to 518 of the family's 1533-position model. The record is from RNAcentral.